UUAGUAACGGCGAGCGAACCGGGCAGAGCCCAACUUGAAAAUCUCCAGCCUCCGGCUGGCGAAUUGUAGUCUAGAGAAGUGCUCUCUGCCUCAGUCCGGCCCCAAGUCCCCUGGAAAGGGGCGUCAGAGAGGGUGAGAACCCCGUUGGGACCGGUGCCUGUGGCUCCACGAGACGCUUUCGAAGAGUCGGGUUGUUUGGGAAUGCAGCCCAAAGCAGGUGGUAAAUCCCAUCUAAGGCUAAAUACAGACGGGAGACCGAUAGCGAACAAGUACCGCGAGGGAAAGAUGAAAAGAACUUUGAAAAGAGAGUUAAAAAGUGCUUGAAAUUGUUGAGAGGGAAGCGAUUGGAUCCUACGGGUGCGCCCAGGCACACGCCUGCCUAACGGUUGGCUGAAUGCGCUGGGUGCUGGUCAGCAUGGGUUGGCCCGGGCGGGACAAACCCCGGGGGUUGUUACCCCCGGCUAUGUCGCCUGGCCGACCGAGGAAAGAAGGGCGCUCUCUGAGUCCUCCGGGAACUGCGUCCUCAAGAUGCUGGCGGAAAGGUUCCAAUCGGCCCGUCUUGAAACACGGACCAAGGAGUCUAACAUGCAUGCGAGCUGGUGGGUGGCAAACCCAUGAAGCGCAAGUAACCUGACUGGUGGGAUGGCCUGUGCCUGCACCAUCGACCGACCAUGAUCUUCUGUGAAAGGUUCGAGUACGAGCAUGCCUGUUGGGACCCGAAAGAUGGUGAACUAUGCCUGAGCAGGGCGAAGCCAGAGGAAACUCUGGUGGAGGCUCGUAGAUGUGCUGACGUGCAAAUCGCUUUUCGGACUUGGGUAUAGGGGCGAAAGACUAAUCGAACCAUCUAGUAGCUGGUUCCCUCCGAAGUUUCCCCCAGGAUAGCUGGAGCUCAUUUCAGUCGACUCGGGUAAAGCGAAUGAUUAGGCGCUCAGGGGAUGAAACAUCCUCGACGCAUUCUCAAACUUUAAAUAGGGUCGUUGUCUGGGUUGCUUAAUUGAACCCAGGCCCUUAGAUGAGAGCUCCAAGUGGGCCAUUUUUGGUAAGCAGAACUGGCGAUGCGGGAUGAACCGAUAGCCGAGUUAAGGCGCCAAACUGCGCGCUAACCUAGAUCCCACAAAGGGUGUUGAUUGAUAUAGACAGCAGGACGGUGGUCAUGGAAGUCGAAAUCC
RNAcentral lists this ribosomal RNA (1169 nucleotides) under Pseudochlorella pringsheimii. RNAcentral's name for it is "LSU rRNA". It matches the Rfam family "Eukaryotic large subunit ribosomal RNA", at positions 80 to 1269 of the family's 3401-position model. Lineage: Eukaryota; Viridiplantae; Chlorophyta; Trebouxiophyceae; Chlorellales; Chlorellaceae. The record is from RNAcentral.